This is a long non-coding RNA of Homo sapiens (human), 1836 nucleotides long. Ensembl annotates it as long intergenic non-protein coding RNA 2325. NCBI's taxonomy places the organism in Eukaryota, Metazoa, Chordata, Mammalia, Primates, Hominidae. The record is from Ensembl.
GGAGAACAGGUAGGAGUGUUUUGCUGGAGUGGUCCUGAUGUGGGAUGAUGGCGGCCCAGAUGAGAGGGGUGGCAAAUGAAACAAGCAGAAAGGAGAGAUGUAGGCCAUGGAACAGACAGAAGAGGACAUGGCCAGUGAGUGAAUGAAAUGAGAUGAAGAGGUAAAAAAGCGAAGUAUGUACCCAAGAUUACAGCUAAACUAGGACUUGAACCCAUGUCUGUCUGAAGUCCGAGCUGAAACUUUGGCCACUAAAUUGCCCUGUCUCACUACAGAUGAGGAAAACAAAAGCUCAGAAACUAUCUUGGAGUCAGCAAGUAAGAAGGAGCUUAGAAAGGCUUAACAUUUUCCAUGCUUCUGCCUGGCUUCAGAGCCCAUGCACUCUGCCUUACCACGGCAGGUGAAAGAUGGCCCCAAAUUCUUAGGUACAUCUCCUGCCAAAAGACCCCUCCUAUGGGUUCUGUGACUACUUCAAUGAAAAGAAUAGGGCAGAAGAGAUGAUGAGAACUUAACAUCUGGCAGUGUCCAUUUCCUGUCUUUUGAAACUUUCUGUUAAAGGCCUGAGCCACGUAUGAAGUGUGAAUCUUCACACCAUGCAAGAGAAGCCACAUGUUAUUGCUCUGGUCAACAAUCCCAGCUGACCCAACCAGAUAGUGUAUCAGGCAUAUGAGUAAAGCAUUCUUAGAUUCUUCAGUCCAGCCCUUCACCAGCAGAACACCAUUCAGCAACCCUUGUCGGCAUCAUGUGGGACAGAAGAACCACCCAGCUGAGCCUUAUCCAAAUUCCUGACCACAAAAUCAUAAGGCACACUAAGACAUUCUGUGGAGGAAGGAAAGCCAUUGCUAUUCUUGUGCUGAUGAAAAGUGGCUUCUACUCACCUUUUAGCCCCAGAUCUGGAGGACUAUUUGGGAUCUUUUGCCCAUGUCUCCUCUGCAAGAUAAAUAGGUCUUUAUUCCCUCCACCACUUGGUGAGCUCCUAGGUGCAGUCGUGUAUGAGCCACCUCUCAAACAGGCUGUGAGUGAUCCAGGUGCAGGGGACCUGCUGGAGUGAAGCUUUUGGCAUGAUAAUUCAAUCCACGUUACUCCAUUGCCAUUUGUUACCACGUCCUUCAGUCUCCUCAAUCUCUCAGUCCCCUUAUUUUUCGUGACCUUGACAACUUUGAGGAGGACUCAUCAGUUCCUGCCCAGGCUGACUCUAUCAUACAAGCUGUAACUUCUGCCAGUCCUAUCAGCCAGCAAACAAUAAAAGCACUGAGGCUCACAAAAGUGAAGUAACUUUCCUCAAGUCCCAGGGCUGAGAAAUUGCAAACACAUAAUUUGGACUGAAGUUUGCCCCCUAUUCACUGGGGCCACCUGUCUGCCAAUGGGAGUAGGAAAGGCAUUCACCAUCAGAAGGCCACAAAGAGCUCUGAGGAACAAGUACACAAGGAGACAAAGCUGCAGCACUGCCAAGGACAUGGAUCUCUCAAGCUCCUGUCUGGCACAUUGCAGGAAGUAAGGGGCAUGUCUAACCACCACGCUCAGCCAAGCCAAAGAACAAAGGCAGCGGCACUCUCUCUGGACCUUGGGGAAUAACACAGCCCUCCCAGGCAGAAGAUGCAAGCAUUCCUGUUGCAGUGCAAUUAGGAGCAGCGAAGAAACUCAGACAUGUGCCCCUUCUGUGUUGGCAACUGAUAUGACAGAACUUCAUGAGGUGCAAAAUACAGGCUGUGUGUGUGUGUGUGUGUGUGUGUGCACACUCGGUGCUAUAUGCUGCAGCCCAAGUUUCAGAGUGAUUUUUAACUUGAAGCUGAUGAGAUGGGAUAUUGUGUCUUUUUUAAAAAUGUAACCAACAACAAA